CUGAGAGGAAGGUCCCCCACAUUGGAACUGAGACACGGUCCAAACUCCUACGGGAGGCAGCAGUGAGGAAUAUUGGCCAAUGGACGGGAGUUUGAACCAGCCAAGUAGCGUGAAGGAUGACUGCCCUAUGGGUUGUAAACUUCUUUUAUAAGGGAAUAAAGUUUUCCACGUGAGGAAAUUUGUAUGUACCAUAUGAAUAAGGAU
This 204-nucleotide ribosomal RNA is filed under the name uncultured bacterium. RNAcentral describes it as "partial 16S ribosomal RNA". It matches the Rfam family "Bacterial small subunit ribosomal RNA", at positions 292 to 493 of the family's 1533-position model. The record is from RNAcentral.